CUGGGGGGAGCCCAAACAUGCCAAAUCGAGCGGUAACAUUUCUAGCUUGCUAGAAGAUGACGAGCGGCGGUCGGGUGAGUAAUGCUUGGGAAUAUGCCUUAGGGUGGGGGACAACAGUUGGAAACGACUGCUAAUACCGCAUAACGUCUACGGACCAAAGGGGGCUUCGGCUCUCGCCCUUAGAUUAGCCCAAGUGGGAUUAGCUAGUUGGUGAGGUAAUGGCUCACCAAGGCGACGAUCCCUAGCUGGUUUGAGAGGAUGAUCAGCCACACUGGAACUGAGACACGGUCCAGACUCCUACGGGAGGCAGCAGUGGGGAAUAUUGCACAAUGGGCGCAAGCCUGAUGCAGCCAUGCCGCGUGUGUGAAGAAGGCCUUCGGGUUGUAAAGCACUUUCAGUCGUGAGGAAGGUUUAUGCGUUAAUAGCGUAUAGAUUUGACGUUAGCGACAGAAGAAGCACCGGCUAACUCCGUGCCAGCAGCCGCGGUAAUACGGAGGGUGCGAGCGUUAAUCGGAAUUACUGGGCGUAAAGCGCAUGCAGGUGGUUCGUUAAGUCAGAUGUGAAAGCCCGGGGCUCAACCUCGGAAUAGCAUUUGAAACUGGCAGACUAGAGUACUGUAGAGGGGGGGUAGAAUUUCAGGGUGUAGCG
RNAcentral lists this ribosomal RNA (648 nucleotides) under uncultured bacterium. RNAcentral's name for it is "bacterial SSU rRNA". It matches the Rfam family "Bacterial small subunit ribosomal RNA", at positions 36 to 680 of the family's 1533-position model. The record is from RNAcentral.